This 302-nucleotide ribosomal RNA is filed under the name Lactobacillus crispatus. RNAcentral describes it as "bacterial SSU rRNA". It matches the Rfam family "Bacterial small subunit ribosomal RNA", at positions 401 to 692 of the family's 1533-position model. The record is from RNAcentral. Lineage: Bacteria; Bacillati; Bacillota; Bacilli; Lactobacillales; Lactobacillaceae.
GUGAGUGCAAGGAGGUAUUCCGUGAUCGUAAAGCUCUGUUGUUGGUGAAGAAGGAUAGAGGUAGUAACUGGCCUUUAUUUGACGGUAAUCAACCAGAAAGUCACGGCUAACUACGUGCCAGCAGCCGCGGUAAUACGUAGGUGGCAAGCGUUGUCCGGAUUUAUUGGGCGUAAAGCGAGCGCAGGCGGAAGAAUAAGUCUGAUGUGAAAGCCCUCGGCUUAACCGAGGAACUGCAUCGGAAACUGUUUUUCUUGAGUGCAGAAGAGGAGAGUGGAACUCCAUGUGUAGCGGUGGAAUUACCA